UCUGUCUAUUUCGAUUUUGUGUUCAGAUAAAACAGUAAUAAGCAAAAAAGUUAGCACUACAGGUUUGCUUACGAAUCAAGUUUUGUGUAGUAUAUACAAAAAAAAACAUCUCUCUCUGGCUUUUCAUACAGCAGAAGCAAACGCAUCAGCACAAAAGCGACUUCUAAGCUUUACCAAAUUCAGAUGAAGUUGAGAGAGAGAAAGAGAAAGAGACAUAAACUGAAGAAUCAAAGAGGAGGAGGGAGAUGCGGAUGAGCCUUCACUUAAACAAGAAGCUUCUGUAGCAGAAUAUGUGUCACUUUCACACUUGUCUUCAAAGCAAAACCUGCACCAAUAGCACAAAGCUAAUACCUCAAUUGCUGCAGAAAAGAAAAGAAAACAUUGCAGAAUUAUCCAUCCGAAUAUGGGUUCGCUUCAGACACCGAUAGAAAUGAGAAGCUCAUCGUUGUUGGAUACGUCCUGCGGAUAUUUGCUCAGAGAGUUACAGGCAAGUUUGUUUUGAUGGUGCUUUCUGUUUUUCUUUUUAAGUAAAAUGGUUCAUAAUUUAGAGUAUUCUGAUCGAUGCCCGAUGGUCACUGUUUUAUGCACAGAUGAUAUGGGAUGAAGUUGGAGAAGAUAAGUUUGAGAGAGAAAAAGUGUUGCUUGAUAUAGAGCAGGAAUGUGUAGAGGCUUACCGGAGAAAAGUUGACCAUGCCAAUGUUUCGAGGUCUCGUCUACAUCAAGAGCUGGCAGAAUCUGAAGCCGAACUCACCCAUUUUCUUUUGUGCCUCGGUGAAAGAUCAGUACCUGGAAGAGUAAUUUUCAUUCUUUCAUAUCCAUUAUGAAGCAAAGACUAUUCAAUAAACAAAACCAAGACUAGUCCAGUGUUUCAGAUAACCUAUCAUAGAUAAUUUUGUUGUCAUUCUCUAUACAGCCGGAGAAAAAGGGAGGAACACUGAGGGAGCAGCUGGAUUCUAUUGCGCCUGCACUGCGUGAGAUGAGGCUUAGGAAAGACGAGAGAGUGAAGCAGUUCCGAUCUGUCAAAGGGGAAAUUCAGAAAAUAUCAGCAGAAAUAGCAGGUAGAUCGACAUAUGAAGACUCAACUAGAAAGAUAACCAUAGAUGACAACGAUCUUUCUAAUAAAAAACUUGAGGAAUAUCAGAAUGAACUGCAUAGACUCCAUGAUGAGAAGGUACAUUUUGUAAUACCAAAUUGGGAACAAUGUUUUUUUUUUGGUCAACAUGCAUGUGUUUUACUUAUCAGACAGUUUUGGCUUCUCCAUCAUGUUGUCUUUCAUUGUUCUGUCACACAAGAAUGAGAGACUACAGAAGGUUGAUAUAUAC
Molecule: long non-coding RNA, 1322 nt
Filed under: Arabidopsis thaliana (thale cress)
Lineage: Eukaryota; Viridiplantae; Streptophyta; Magnoliopsida; Brassicales; Brassicaceae
Description: long non-coding RNA (ATHA_LNC000457)
Source: RNAcentral